This 253-nucleotide ribosomal RNA is filed under the name uncultured bacterium. RNAcentral's name for it is "partial 16S ribosomal RNA". It matches the Rfam family "Bacterial small subunit ribosomal RNA", at positions 524 to 776 of the family's 1533-position model. The record is from RNAcentral.
UACGUAGGGUGCGAGCGUUAAUCGGAAUUACUGGGCGUAAAGCGUGCGCAGGCGGCGCGUUAAGACAGGUGUGAAAGCCCCGAGCUUAACUUGGGAAUUGCGCUUGUGACUGGCGUGCUGGAGUGUGGCAGAGGGAGGUGGAAUUCCACGUGUAGCAGUGAAAUGCGUAGAGAUGUGGAGGAACACCGAUGGCAAAGGCAGCCUCCUGGGCCAGCACUGACGCUCAUGCACGAAAGCGUGGGGAGCAAACAGG